Non-coding RNA from Paramisgurnus dabryanus, 532 nucleotides. Lineage: Eukaryota; Metazoa; Chordata; Actinopteri; Cypriniformes; Cobitidae. The record is from RefSeq and is a predicted model, not a curated record.
GGUAACUUACUCUGUAUUUGUUCACGGUGGUCACCCCAGGGUCUCAGGACUCAAAACGAGUGCUCUAUGGAUUGAACAUAAAAUGUAGAUCAACACUCCAACCAUCUGCAUUAGGGACUGAAUAAAGGAUGCCCUCUGUAGCUGGGAAUGUUAGAUCAGGCGGAUCAACAUUCCAUCCAUCUGCAUUAGGAUCUACCUUAGAGACACUCACUGGAGCUGUAAAUGGGAAGCAGGUCACUUACUUUGCAUUCGUCCUUGGUGGUCACCCAAGGGUCUCUAGAGUGAAAAUUACUCAAUCUAUGGAUUAAACAGAAAAUUUAGUUGUAUGAAGUGCAAUUUGGGACAUUCUUCCAGUUGUCGGCAACUUUGUGAAAAAGGCUGGAAACUUAAAUGCAGAAUUCUGGCCUGGUGUUUGGUCUGUGCUGUCUUUGGCUCUUGCAUCUCCAUCAUCCUGACCCUCUUUAGCAGCCUGUCCAUGUAUUUAUUUGGAGGCCACCAUGAGCACCCAUCUGCAUAAUAUGACUUUGUUACU